RNAcentral lists this unclassified non-coding RNA (439 nucleotides) under plant metagenome. Its description in RNAcentral is "partial contains small subunit ribosomal RNA, internal transcribed spacer 1, and 5.8S ribosomal RNA". The record is from RNAcentral.
UUUCCGUAGGUGAACCUGCGGAAGGAUCAUUGCACACACGAUGCAGCAAACUAGCGAACUGUGUUUGUCCCCCACCUACCCCAAACACGAGGGGCCGCAUCUGGAGGUGCGGCUGUCGACGGCAAGGUCCCGACCUUCGGGUCCCCGCAUUGGUUCCCGCAAGCGGGCUGAUCAUGUCGCCGUCUGGGUGUCCCGCGCGUGCUCUCGCCUUGCCUUAGGGUUGGGCGACGCGGGCAUUCUCCUCCCUUCGAUGGCGUCGUCCCCUCCUCCGGGAGAGCGACACGCCUCGAGGGCCGUGUACAACUUUGCACCAUGUACAACACCAGUGACGGAGUAUACCUGUGUCCCGGUUCCGCUGCUGCCGUCGGGUGGUGCGGGAUUGGUCAAUAGGAACGAGAGUAAAUAAAAACAACUCUCAGCAACGGAUAUCUUGGCUCUU